This 589-nucleotide long non-coding RNA is filed under the name Phasianus colchicus (ring-necked pheasant). RNAcentral's name for it is "lncRNA (ENSPCLG00000012775.1)". Lineage: Eukaryota; Metazoa; Chordata; Aves; Galliformes; Phasianidae. The record is from RNAcentral.
AGAAAACUUAGUAGUCAUUAAUAUCUGCUAUUUGUGGUUUGUUCCUUUAUCUUUUCUCCACACAGGUAGAUGAAGUAAGCUUUGUUGUAGAAGAUUCCAGAGUUUCUUCUUUAAGUGUAUUCUCUUGGAAAAGUAAGACCUGAGUUGAGAUACGCGCUUGCGCACUCAAAAAGUUUACCUGACACUUCAUAUGAAGGUGUGCUGAUACAAGGUAUCUGGAGCAUCUACUCAGCAAAUGGUGGGGCAAGUGUUAACAGUCCUCUGCAUUGAGACCUCAGCUGCACCUACUGAUUGCUGAGAUUUUCAGCCCAGCAGCCCUGGUAUCUUGGGAAAUGUUUUCCUGUUGCACGAAGGAACUCUUCAGGUGUCCCCGUGUUCUGGAAUUUCAAGCAACAGAGCUGCUGAGAAUUAACAGAGCAAAAAAUACGUAUGUAGCAGUGUGAUUAGUGACUUCAGUGUUGGAAUCACAUUGUCCGGCAGGCAUGAGCACCCUGUGCUCCCCUCAGCCACACGGUGGAUCAGGGAGGAGCUGCCUCCCUUACAGAACAUCUUGGCUUUUGCAGUCUUCUGUGAACCUUCUAGACUUUUU